RNAcentral lists this ribosomal RNA (253 nucleotides) under uncultured bacterium. RNAcentral's name for it is "partial 16S ribosomal RNA". It matches the Rfam family "Bacterial small subunit ribosomal RNA", at positions 524 to 776 of the family's 1533-position model. The record is from RNAcentral.
UACGUAGGUGGCAAGCGUUGUCCGGAAUUAUUGGGCGUAAAGCGCGCGCAGGCGGUUCUUUUAGUCUGAUGUGAAAGCCCACGGCUCAACCGUGGAGGGUCAUUGGAAACUGGGGAACUUGAGUACAGAAGAGGAAAGCGGAAUUCCACGUGUAGCGGUGAAAUGCGUAGAGAUGUGGAGGAACACCAGUGGCGAAGGCGGCUUUCUGGUCUGUAACUGACGCUGAGGCGCGAAAGCGUGGGGAGCAAACAGG